Molecule: ribosomal RNA, 246 nt
Filed under: uncultured bacterium
Lineage: Bacteria
Description: partial 16S ribosomal RNA
Rfam family: Bacterial small subunit ribosomal RNA
Source: RNAcentral
AUACGGAGGGUGCAAGCGUUAUCGGAAUUACUGGGCGUAAAGCGCGCGUAGGCGGUUGUGUAAGUUGGAUGUGAAAGCCCCGGGCUUAACCUGGGAACUGCAUUCAAAACUGCACGGCUAGAGUACGGGAGAGGGUAGUGGAAUUUCGAGUGUAGGGGUGAAAUCCGUAGAUAUUCGAAGGAACACCGGUGGCGAAGGCGGCUACCUGGACCGAUACUGACGCUGAGACGCGAAAGCGUGGGGAGC